AUGGUUGAUUAAUGAUUAUGAAUCAUUAAAGGAUAACUAUCAAUAUAAUUGAUAAUUAACCUUAUGCAAAAAUUAAAAUUAUGUAAUUCACUAAGUAUCAGUGAAUUAGAAAAAGAUUAAUUAGCAAUUGAAUUGCUAAUUGACUCAACUUGAUUGGAUAAUAAGGUACAGAUUAUUGGAUUUUUAUGGUUUUAUACACGCAUAAUUUUACGAAAUAAGUA
This 221-nucleotide long non-coding RNA is filed under the name Elaeis guineensis (African oil palm). RNAcentral's name for it is "long non-coding RNA (EGUI_LNC056602)". The record is from RNAcentral. Lineage: Eukaryota; Viridiplantae; Streptophyta; Magnoliopsida; Arecales; Arecaceae.